This 406-nucleotide ribosomal RNA is filed under the name uncultured bacterium. Its description in RNAcentral is "partial 16S ribosomal RNA". It matches the Rfam family "Bacterial small subunit ribosomal RNA", at positions 30 to 526 of the family's 1533-position model. The record is from RNAcentral.
AUUGAACGCUGGCGGCAUGCUUUACACAUGCAAGUCGGACGAGUGGCGAACGGGUGAGUAACGCAUCGGAACGUACCGGGUAAAGGGGGAUAACUGUCCGAAAGGACAGCUAAUACCGCAUAUAAUUCGAGCGGCCGAGUUCGGAUUAGCUGGUUGGUGGGGUAAAGGCCCACCAAGGCGACGAUCCGUAGCGGGUCUGAGAGGAUGAUCCGCCACACUGGGACUGAGACACGGUCCAGACUCCUACGGGAGGCAGCAGUGGGGAAUAUUGGACAAUGGGCGCAAGCCUGAUCCAGCCAUGCCGCGUGUAUGAAGAAGGCCUUCGGGUUGUAAAGGACUUUUGUCAGGGAAGCGGUACCUGAAGAAUAAGCACCGGCUAACUACGUGCCAGCCGCCGCGGUAAUAC